Molecule: unclassified non-coding RNA, 1452 nt
Filed under: Hevea brasiliensis (rubber tree)
Lineage: Eukaryota; Viridiplantae; Streptophyta; Magnoliopsida; Malpighiales; Euphorbiaceae
Source: RNAcentral
CCAAAGCCCCACCAUCACUCCCAAAGUCCCCCACCUAUAAAAUCCACCUCGCCAACGUCCGCCGCUCUCCUCCACUCCCGGCCUCUCUCUUGCGGCGGAGAGUCCCAAGCUCCAAAAAUGCAGACCGCAUCCUUCGCCGUCUCGCCCAGCACCCCUCUCCUCAAGGCCCGCCUCCCCUCACCGCCGAACCCUAAACCUAACCUCCGCCUCUACCCCUCCGCCGCCGUCGCCGCCGCCCUUGCAGCUCCGAUCCAUGGCCUCCCCCGCCUCCGCAUCUCGAUCUCAUCCCGCUCGUGUGGCUGGAUCUCUGAUCCGGCCCCCAGAGGCUUAGAUCGGACCGAGAGCGUCGUUGUCAGGGCUAGCGCCGCCGAUGUCGGCGAUGUCUCCGGCGACGGCGAGGCUACCGCGAAGUCCGGUGCGUUGUUGCAGACGCUGCAGCUCGGGUCGCUGUUCGGGCUGUGGUAUCUGUUCAAUAUCUACUUCAACAUCUAUAACAAGCAGGUUCUGAAGGUCUUUCCAUACCCAAUAACAAUCACUACACUUCAAUUUGCUGUGGGGACUGUCUUCACCUUACUCAUGUGGAUCACUACUAUCUACAAGAUACCUAAAAUAUCUUCUGCACAGCUUUUUGCAAUUCUUCCACUGGCUAUGGUGCACACCUUGGGCAACCUUUUCACUAACAUGAGCCUUGGAAAAGUUGCUGUUUCUUUCACGCACACAAUCAAAGCUAUGGAGCCUUUUUUCUCGGUUCUUUUGUCCGCCUUGUUCCUCGGAGAGUUGCCUUCAAUCUGGGUUGUAUCUUCUCUGGUGCCAAUUGUUGGUGGUGUGGCAUUGGCAUCCAUGACUGAAACUUCUUUCAACUGGGCUGGAUUUUGGGCUGCAAUGGCUUCCAAUGUUACCUUUCAAUCCCGAAAUGUACUGAGCAAAAAGCUCAUGAUUAAGAAAGAGGAGUCACUUGACAACAUCUCACUCUUCUCUAUAAUAACAGUCAUGUCACUCUUCCUCAUAGCCCCUGUGGCUCUAGUUGCCGAGGGAGUUAAAAUAAGUCCGGCACAUUUGCAGUCCCUUGGUUUGAAUCUCAAGGAGGUGUAUACGAGAUGCCUCAUUGCUGGGAUUUGUUUCCAUGCAUAUCAACAGGUUUCCUAUAUGAUACUGGCUAAGGUAUCACCAGUAACCCAUUCCGUAGGCAAUUGCGUGAAGCGUGUGGUUGUUAUUGUGACCUCGGUUCUCUUCUUCAAGAUUCACGUAACAGCAAUUAAUUCUCUAGGAACGGCUGUGGCUCUGGCUGGAGUUUUUCUUUACUCUUCGGUGAAGAAAAUCAAGGCCAAGUCAACAUGAGUAUGUUCUUCCAGUUCUGGCAUGCUAUUGCCUCAUUUUCAUGUAGUGUGGAGUAUUGGUCUUUGUAGGGACCUAGGUAUCUGUUUCCUUCAGUAGUUCGGAAUUGGAAUCAAG